RNAcentral lists this ribosomal RNA (253 nucleotides) under uncultured bacterium. RNAcentral's name for it is "partial 16S ribosomal RNA". It matches the Rfam family "Bacterial small subunit ribosomal RNA", at positions 524 to 776 of the family's 1533-position model. The record is from RNAcentral.
UACGUAGUGCGCAAGCGUUGUCCGGAAUUAUUGGGCGUAACGCGCUCGUAGGCGGUUUGUCGCGUCUGCUGUGAAAACCUAAGGCUCAACCUUGGGCUUGCAGUGGGUACGGGCAGACUAGAGUGCGGUAGGGGUGACUGGAAUUCCUGGUGUAGCGGUGGAAUGCGCAGAUAUCAGGAGGAACACCGAUGGCGAAGGCAGGUCACUGGGCCGCAACUGACGCUGAGGAGCGAAAGCAUGGGGAGCGAACAGG